This is a long non-coding RNA of Canis lupus familiaris (dog), 1136 nucleotides long. RefSeq lists it as uncharacterized. NCBI's taxonomy places the organism in Eukaryota, Metazoa, Chordata, Mammalia, Carnivora, Canidae. The record is from RefSeq and is a predicted model, not a curated record. The transcript has 3 exons.
GAACCAGGCUACGAGAAGUGGAGCAACGUGUCUGAAGUCACACAGCAGUCAGUGAAAAGCCGGAGAGCCAAUCCCCCGUGCUGCCCAAUCCCAAAUCGGGUGUCGUUCCCACAGCAGCACAGACCCUGUGCUACGCUGACACGUCAGUGAGCCCGAGAGCCCGACGUCGCGGCCGGAUCUGAGCGGUGACAAAGGACCGCAGUCUGUGCUCGCCAGGCUUGCAGAGCGAGGGGGAUGGGGACGGUGAGGACGGCAGGUGAGGCUGGGAAAGCAGAGUGCCGUGCACUAGAAGCCAUGCCCAAAGCCCGGAGAAGCUGUCCCCAGCCCCAUCUCAAAGGUCCUGCCUGGUUCAAAGAACAAGAGGGUGGAGUCCAGGAGGAGGAGGAGAAAGAGCCCUGCCCAGGUGAUGUCCGGUCCUGGUGCGAGGGGCAGGUGCCCACUGACAUCUGUGUACCGAGAGCAACAUUAAAUGCUGGGCUAUGUACACACAGCAAGAAGCCGCGUGGAGCAGAAGGCACAGGGGUCCACACAGGCAGCCACUCGUGGGCUGUCACCUUACACAAAUUAGUGACAUUCCCGUGCUUGGAUUUCCUCAUCUGCGGGGGAAGCACAGCCGAAGGCCUCGAGAGACGAGCGACUGCAAAGCGACUGCAAAGCACAGCAAGAUCCCCUGGCCGAGAACACACCCUUCCCGGGUGCGUCUCUCCCCCCAAGCCUUUGCCUGCUCCAGGGUGACACGGGUAGUUCAGCUGGGCGCUGUCACCUGCACCACCACGCUGUCACUGGAGACUUCGCCCCCGAGCCGGCCAGGCGGGCCCAGCGAUGGCCCCCCCACCCCGGCGGUGUUCACACUUGCAGGGGGCUCUGGCCUGAGGCCCCGCCUCACCCUUGGCAGAGUCGUCGUAGCCAAUGUGCCUGAUGGCGCCUCUGACCACCCGCUGGUAGUCCACCGUGGCCGUGGACGUGAUCUCGCCGCAGAGCAGCACCAUGCCCGUCUUGCACACUGUCUCUGUGAGGGAGGGGGGAUGUCAGCGGCUGUGAGCCUGUGCGGGGGAGCCCCACUCCAAGGCCUCCCGCCCAGAGUCUUCCCAAGCCCGGGUUCCAGAAAUAAAAGAAUAAUGCUAACAAACAGACUA